Molecule: transfer RNA, 63 nt
Filed under: Meghimatium bilineatum
Lineage: Eukaryota; Metazoa; Mollusca; Gastropoda; Stylommatophora; Philomycidae
Description: tRNA-Val
Source: RNAcentral
GAAAAUAAAGUAUUUAGUAUAAUUCUCUUACAUAGAAUAGGUCUAUCAUGUGUAGUAUUUUCU